RNAcentral lists this unclassified non-coding RNA (1424 nucleotides) under uncultured fungus. RNAcentral's name for it is "sequence contains 18S rRNA gene, ITS1, 5.8S rRNA gene, ITS2, 28S rRNA gene". The stretch from base 482 to 1424 matches the Rfam family "Eukaryotic large subunit ribosomal RNA", at positions 1 to 961 of the family's 3401-position model. Lineage: Eukaryota; Fungi. The record is from RNAcentral.
GGAAGGAUCAUUACAGAGUUCAUGCCCCUCGGGGUAGAUCUCCACCCUUGCAUACCUUACCUUUGUUGCUUUGGCGGUCCGACUCACCUCGGUGAGGCCACUGGCUCCGGCCCGUGCGUGACCGUCGAAGGUUUUCAACUCUACAAUUUAUGUCGUCUGAGUAUUAUACAAUAGUUAAAAACUUUCAACAACGGAUCUCUUGGUUCUGGCAUCGAUGAAGAACGCAGCGAAAUGCGAUAAGUAAUGUGAAUUGCAGAAUUCAGUGAAUCAUCGAAUCUUUGAACGCACAUUGCGCCCCCUGGCAUUCCGGGGGGCAUGCCUGUUCGAGCGUCAUUAACACCACUCAAGCUCAGCUUGGUAUUGGGUCACGCCAGCAAUGGCGAACCUCAAACUCAGUGGCGGCACCGCUGGGUCCCGAGCGUAGUAAAUAUCUCGCUGAGGGUUCCCGCGGUUGGCGACCAUCAACCCAAUUUUUCAAGGUUGACCUCGGAUCAGGUAGGAAUACCCGCUGAACUUAAGCAUAUCAAUAAGCGGAGGAAAAGAAACCAACAGGGAUUGCCUCAGUAACGGCGAGUGAAGCGGCAACAGCUCAAAUUUGAAAUCUGGCUCUUUCAGGGUCCGAGUUGUAAUUUGUAGAAGAUGCUUCGGGUGUGGUGCCGGUCUAAGUUCCUUGGAACAGGACGUCAUAGAGGGUGAGAAUCCCGUACGUGACCGUGCGCCUAUGCUCAUGUGAAGCUCUUUCAACGAGUCGAGUUGUUUGGGAAUGCAGCUCAAAAUGGGUGGUAUAUUUCAUCUAAAGCUAAAUAUUGGCCAGAGACCGAUAGCGCACAAGUAGAGUGAUCGAAAGAUGAAAAGCACUUUGGAAAGAGAGUUAAACAGUACGUGAAAUUGUUGAAAGGGAAGCGCUUGCAACCAGACUUGCACGCGGUUGAUCAUCCGGGGUUCUCCCCGGUGCACUCGAUCGUGUUCAGGCCAGCAUCAGUUCUGGUGGUUGGAUACAGGCCUUGGGAAUGUGGCUCCUCUCGGGGAGUGUUAUAGCCCUUGGUGUCAUGCAGCCAACUGGGACUGAGGACCGCGCUUCGGCUAGGAUGCUGGCGUAAUGGUUGUAAGCGACCCGUCUUGAAACACGGACCAAGGAGUCUAAUAUCUAUGCGAGUAUUUGGGUGUCAAACCCAUCUGCGCAAUGAAAGUGAACGGAGGUGAGAACCCGCAAGGGCGCAUCAUCGACCGAUCCUGAUGUCUUCGGAUGGAUUUGAGUAAGAGCAUAGCUAUUGGGACCCGAAAGAGAGUGAACUUUACGUGAAUAGGGUGAAGUCAGAGGAAACUCUGAUGGAGGCUCGCAGCGGUUCUGACGUGCAAAUCGAUCGUCAAAUUUGCGUAAAGGGGCGAAAGACUAAUCGAACUUUCUAGUAGCUGGUUCCUGC